UCACUCUGGUUUCCCUUCAAAACGUAUAAAUCUUUCGCCUUUUACUAAAGAUUUCCGUGGAGGGGAACACUCAAAUGAGUCUAUAGUUAUUAUUGGUGCCCUGCGCUCGCAGGGC
This 115-nucleotide small nuclear RNA is filed under the name Manduca sexta (tobacco hornworm). Its description in RNAcentral is "U5 spliceosomal RNA". It matches the Rfam family "U5 spliceosomal RNA". Rfam says of the family: U5 RNA is a component of both types of known spliceosome. Lineage: Eukaryota; Metazoa; Arthropoda; Insecta; Lepidoptera; Sphingidae. The record is from Rfam by way of RNAcentral.